Molecule: small RNA, 17 nt
Filed under: Arabidopsis thaliana (thale cress)
Lineage: Eukaryota; Viridiplantae; Streptophyta; Magnoliopsida; Brassicales; Brassicaceae
Description: ATSL120630
Source: RNAcentral
UUUUUUGUUGAUUUUUU